This is a long non-coding RNA of Solenopsis invicta (red fire ant), 721 nucleotides long. RefSeq lists it as uncharacterized. The transcript has 2 exons. NCBI's taxonomy places the organism in Eukaryota, Metazoa, Arthropoda, Insecta, Hymenoptera, Formicidae. The record is from RefSeq and is a predicted model, not a curated record.
GUGGAAGACUCUUGCGCGAAAAAACGCACGUCAAUCAGCGAAGACGAUUGUCGUCCAGUAGUAAAAACACGGAAGUGGUCAGACCAAGCUUCUUUAUUUUUUAUUUGGAAGAUUGCUGAACUCUGACAGCUUUUGAAGGGGAGAAAGCGAAUAGAGUAGAGAUAACCGUGACAUCGGCGCGGAUUCAUGGAACACGUUAUAACGGCCACUCCCAUUCUUCACGAAAAUAAACCGACGAAAUUGGAACGUACAGAAUGAAAAGUUGGCCGAUGUUUAGCUCACGCAAGGAGAGUUAGGCUCCACUCCCGAUCUGAAUAUUAAAACUCCAUGGACAAAAGGGGACGCUAAUUAAUUCAGCGACACAACAGUCAGGUAAUUGGAUGGGUACGAUGUAUAUGGGACAUUUUAAUUAGAGUGAACUUCUGCUUUAGGACAACGUACAAGAGAGCAUAUCGCGGGUAAUCAAGAUGUAUGGUAAUAAUCAUUCAGCGAAAUAAAGAUGUAAGAUAAAGGAGAUAGAGGACGAAAUCGUGUAACGUGCAUAUAGACAAAUUAAUUUACCAAGUAUUUAACGCGACGAGGAAACAGAACAGAUAAAGGACGAAGGCUCUCAAGCUAUUCCAGGCAAGAAACGUGACACCAGACGACGUCUAUGCAGGCAUUAACUGACGUGAGUCAGUUCUAAUCUCACGUGACAGUGUUCCAUAAAUAAAAGGGAAAA